This 208-nucleotide ribosomal RNA is filed under the name uncultured bacterium. RNAcentral's name for it is "partial 16S ribosomal RNA". It matches the Rfam family "Bacterial small subunit ribosomal RNA", at positions 568 to 774 of the family's 1533-position model. The record is from RNAcentral.
CGCGUAGGCGGCUAGAUAAGUUUGGUGUGAAAUACCUGGGCUUAACCUGGGAAUUGCAUUGAAUACUGUUUAGCUAGAGUACUGAAGGGGGAUGAUGGAAUUAUGCAUGGAGAGGUGGAAUUCAUAGAUAUGCAUAGGAACACCGGAGGCGAAGGCGAUCAUCUGGGCAGUAACUGACGCUGAGGCGCGAAAGCGUGGGGAGCAAACA